Molecule: unclassified non-coding RNA, 238 nt
Filed under: Hevea brasiliensis (rubber tree)
Lineage: Eukaryota; Viridiplantae; Streptophyta; Magnoliopsida; Malpighiales; Euphorbiaceae
Source: RNAcentral
UUUUCAGGGUGCAGUUAAAAGCUCUGCUAGUGCCCCACGAAUUUCCAUCUGAUCACAGCACACAAGUUUUGUAAGUAAAGGAUAGAAAUCUCUUAAAUGUCUUCUGAAAAUCUUGUUGUUCAUAANNNNNNNNNNCCUUGACAAUGAUCGGUGACCGUAACUCAAGAACUCGAUGAACAUCCAUGUUAGCAGUCUCCCCCAUUGAGGACUGGAGAUCAGAUGCUUCCUUGAGUACCUG